GGACGAACGCUGGCGGCGUGCUUAACACAUGCAAGUGGAGCGACGAACCAGGGCUUCGGCCUGGGGCAAAGCCGCGAACGGGUGAGUAACACGUGGGUAACCUGCCCUGAUGACCGGGACAACCCGAGGAAACUCGGGCUAAUACCGGAUGUGCUCCCACUACACCAGUGGUGUGAGUAAAGGUAGCUUCGGCCUCCGCAUCGGGAUGGGCCCGCGGCGCAUUAGCUUGUUGGUGGGGUAAGCCUACCAAGGCUACGAUGCGUAGCUGGUCUGAGAGGACGAUCAGCCACACUGGGACUGAGACACGGCCCAGACUCC
RNAcentral lists this ribosomal RNA (318 nucleotides) under uncultured bacterium. Its description in RNAcentral is "bacterial SSU rRNA". It matches the Rfam family "Bacterial small subunit ribosomal RNA", at positions 27 to 339 of the family's 1533-position model. The record is from RNAcentral.